This 770-nucleotide ribosomal RNA is filed under the name uncultured Bacillota bacterium. RNAcentral's name for it is "bacterial SSU rRNA". It matches the Rfam family "Bacterial small subunit ribosomal RNA", at positions 71 to 868 of the family's 1533-position model. Lineage: Bacteria; Bacillati; Bacillota. The record is from RNAcentral.
CGGCUUCAGCAAUGGGGCCUAGUACAGUGGCGAACGGGUGAGUAACACGUGGGUAAUCUACCUUCAAGUGGGGGAUAACCCGGGGAAACCUGGGCUAAUACCGCAUAAUAUCCGCAAGGAUCAAAGGAGCAAUUCGCUCGAAGAUGAGCCCGCGGCCGAUUAGCUAGUUGGCGGGGUAACGGCCCACCAAGGCUCUGAUCGGUAGCCGGUCUGAGAGGACGCACGGCCACACUGGAACUGAAACACGGUCCAGACUCCUACGGGAGGCAGCAGUGGGGAAUCUUGCACAAUGGGGGAAACCCUGAUGCAGCGACGCCGCGUGGGUGAUGAAGCUCUUCGGAGUGUAAAGCCCUUUCGGCAGGGAAGAGAUAAGACGGUACCUGCAAAAGAAGCCCCGGCUAACUACGUGCCAGCAGCCGCGGUAAUACGUAGGGGGCCAGCGUUGUUCGGAAUUACUGGGCGUAAAGAGUGCGUAGGCGGUGCGAUGUGUUCGGUGUGAAAUCUCCCGGCUCAACCGGGAGGGGCCAUCGAAAACUGUCGCGCUUCGGGUACGGGAGAGGGGAGUGGAAUUCCCGGUGUAGCGGUGAAAUGCGUAGAGAUCGGGAGGAACACCAGCGACGAAGGUGGCUCCCUGGACCGUUACCGACGCUGAGGCACGAAAGCUAGGGGAGCAAACAGGAUUAGAUACCCUGGUAGUCCUAGCCCUAAACGAUGUUCACUUGGUGUGCCGCGAGCACUCGCGGUGUGCCGGAGCUAACGCGUUAAGUGAA